UUAAGUCCCGUAACGAGCGCAACCCUUGUCCUUAGUUACCAGCACGUUAUGGUGGGCACUCUAAGGAGACUGCCGGUGACAAACCGGAGGAAGGUGGGGAUGACGUCAAGUCAUCAUGGCCCUUACGGCCUGGGCUACACACGUGCUACAAUGGUCGGUACAGAGGGUUGCCAAGCCGCGAGGUGGAGCUAAUCCCACAAAACCGAUCGUAGUCCGGAUCGCAGUCUGCAACUCGACUGCGUGAAGUCGGAAUCGCUAGUAAUCGCGAAUCAGAAUGUCGCGGUGAAUACGUUCCCGGGCCUUGUACACACCGCCCGUCACACCAUGGGAGUGG
RNAcentral lists this ribosomal RNA (334 nucleotides) under Pseudomonas gessardii. Its description in RNAcentral is "bacterial SSU rRNA". It matches the Rfam family "Bacterial small subunit ribosomal RNA", at positions 1080 to 1413 of the family's 1533-position model. The record is from RNAcentral. Lineage: Bacteria; Pseudomonadati; Pseudomonadota; Gammaproteobacteria; Pseudomonadales; Pseudomonadaceae.